UACGUAGGGUGCGAGCGUUAAUCGGAAUUACUGGGCGUAAAGCGUGCGCAGGCGGUUCGUUAAGUUCGAUGUGAAAGCCCCGGGCUCAACCUGGGAACUGCAUUGGAAACUGGCGAGCUUGAAUGCGGCAGAGGGGGGUGGAAUUUCCGGUGUAGCGGUGAAAUGCGUAGAUAUCGGAAGGAACAUCAGUGGCGAAAGCGACUUCCUGGACCAAUACUGACGCUCAUGUGCGAAAGCGUGGGGAGCAAACAGG
RNAcentral lists this ribosomal RNA (253 nucleotides) under uncultured bacterium. Its description in RNAcentral is "partial 16S ribosomal RNA". It matches the Rfam family "Bacterial small subunit ribosomal RNA", at positions 524 to 776 of the family's 1533-position model. The record is from RNAcentral.